Molecule: ribosomal RNA, 253 nt
Filed under: uncultured bacterium
Lineage: Bacteria
Description: partial 16S ribosomal RNA
Rfam family: Bacterial small subunit ribosomal RNA
Source: RNAcentral
CACGUAGGGCGCAAGCGUUGUCCGGAAUUAUUGGGCGUAAAGAGCUCGUAGGCGGACUGUCACGUCCGCUGUGAAAAGCUAGGGCUUAACCCUGGCCUUGCAGUGGAUACGGGCAGACUAGAGGUAGGUAGGGGAGAAUGGAAUUCCCGGUGUAGCGGUGAAAUGCGCAGAUAUCGGGAGGGACACCGGUGGCGAAGGCGGUUCUCUGGGCCUUACCUGACGCUGAGGAGCGAAAGCGUGGGGAGCGAACAGG